This 369-nucleotide ribosomal RNA is filed under the name Triticum aestivum (bread wheat). RNAcentral describes it as "partial small subunit ribosomal RNA". Lineage: Eukaryota; Viridiplantae; Streptophyta; Magnoliopsida; Poales; Poaceae. The record is from RNAcentral.
AUGACGCUUCUAAGCUGGAACUGCCGGGGCCUCGGGCAGCCCCGGACAGUUCAGGAAUUGGUGUGCCUGGUGCACACCUACAAACCAAAGCUCGUUUUUCUGUUGGAUACACGGCAAAGAAAUAAAUAUGUAAGCAACCUAAGAUGGAGAUUAGGUCUGAAACACUGCAUCACACAUGCUGGCAUAGGAAAAGGAGCCGACAUUGCCUUGUAUUAUGAUGAAAGCGUGGAAGUAAUAAAACUUGCCGUGGGUUUGAGAUACAUUGAUGUGUUGAUUCGUUUGAACCCUCAUGGCCAGCAGUGGCGUGCAACAUUUGUGUAUGGAGAGGCAAAAGCGCAUGAACGCCAUCAUAUGUGGAACCUCCUGUGA